Molecule: ribosomal RNA, 433 nt
Filed under: uncultured bacterium
Lineage: Bacteria
Description: partial 16S ribosomal RNA
Rfam family: Bacterial small subunit ribosomal RNA
Source: RNAcentral
AACGAACGCUGGCGGCAUGCCUAACACAUGCAAGUCGAACGAGACCUUCGGGUCUAGUGGCGCACGGGUGCGUAACGCGUGGGAACCUGCCCUUAGGUUCGGAAUAACUCCCCGAAAGGGGUGCUAAUACCGGAUAAUGUCUUCGGACCAAAGAUUUAUCGCCUUUGGAUGGGCCCGCGUUGGAUUAGCUAGUUGGUAGGGUAAAAGCCUACCAAGGCGACGAUCCAUAGCUGGUCGGAGAGGAUGAUCAGCCACACUGGGACUGCGACACGGCCCAGACUCCUACGCGACGCAGCAGUGGGGAAUAUUGGACGAUGGGCGAAAGCCUGAUCCAGCCAUGUCGCGUGAGUGAUGAAGGCCUUAGUGUUGUAAAGCUCUUUUACCCGGGAUGAUAAUGACAGUACCGGGAGAAUAAGCUCCGGCUAACUCCGUG